GAUGAACGCUGGCGGCGUGCCUAAUACAUGCAAGUCGAGCGAACGGACGAGAAGCUUGCUUUUCUGAUGUUAGCGGCGGACGGGUGAGUAACACGUGGAUAACCUACCUAUAAGACUGGGAUAACGUCGGGAAACCGGAGCUAAUACCUGAUAAUAUUGUGAACCGCAUGGUUCAAAAGUGAAAGACGGUCUUGCUGUCACUUAUAGAUGGAUCCGCGCUUCAUUAGCUAGUUGGUAAGGUAACGGCUUACCAAGGCAACGAUGAAUAGCCGACCUGAGAGGGUGAUCAGCCACACUGGAACUGAGACACGGUCCAGACUCCUACGGGAGGCAGCAGUAGGGAAUCUUCCGCAAUGGGCGAAAGCCUGACGGAGCAACGCCGCGUGAGUGAUGAAGGUCUUCGGAUCGUAAAACUCUGUUAUUCGGGAAGAACAUAUGUGUAAGUAACUGUGCACAUCUUGACGGUACCUAAUCAGAAAGCCACGGCUAACUACGUG
This 497-nucleotide ribosomal RNA is filed under the name uncultured bacterium. Its description in RNAcentral is "partial 16S ribosomal RNA". It matches the Rfam family "Bacterial small subunit ribosomal RNA", at positions 28 to 507 of the family's 1533-position model. The record is from RNAcentral.